This 433-nucleotide ribosomal RNA is filed under the name uncultured bacterium. Its description in RNAcentral is "partial 16S ribosomal RNA". It matches the Rfam family "Bacterial small subunit ribosomal RNA", at positions 29 to 507 of the family's 1533-position model. The record is from RNAcentral.
AACGAACGCUGGCGGCAGGCCUAACACAUGCAAGUCGAGCGGACCCUUCGGGGUUAGCGGCGGACGGGUGAGUAACGCGUGGGAAUAUGCCCUUCUCUACGGAAUAGUCCUGGGAAACUGGGGGUAAUACCGUAUACGCCCUUUGGGGGAAAGAUUUAUCGGGGAAGGAUUAGCCCGCGUUGGAUUAGGUAGUUGGUGGGGUAAUGGCCUACCAAGCCGACGUUCCAUAGCUGGUUUGAGAGGAUGAUCAGCCACACUGGGACUGAGACACGGCCCAGACUCCUACGGGAGGCAGCAGUGGGGAAUCUUAGACAAUGGGGGCAACCCUGAUCUAGCCAUGCCGCGUGAGUGAUGAAGGCCUUAGGGUUGUAAAGCUCUUUCAGCUGGGAAGAUAAUGACGGUACCAGCAGAAGAAGCCCCGGCUAACUCCGUG